GAUGAACGCUGGCGGCGUGCCUAAUACAUGCAAGUAGAACGCUGAAGGAGGAGCUUGCUCUUUCCGGAUGAGUUGCGAACGGGUGAGUAACGCGUAGGUAACCUGCCUGGUAGCGGGGGCUUACUAUUGGAAACGCUAGCUAAUACCGCAUAACAGUAGAUAUUGCAUGAUAUUUGCUUGAAAGGGGCAAUUGCUCCACUACCAGAUGGACUUGCGUUGUAUUAGCUUGGUGGUGUGGUAAAGGCUCAACAAGGCGACGAUACAUAGCCGACCUGAGAGGGUGAACGGCCACAAUGGGACUGAAGCACGGGCCAGGAUCCUUAGGGAGGCAGCAGGAGGGGAACUUCGGCCAUGGACGGAAGUCUGACCGAACAACGCCGCGUGAGUGAAGAAGGGUUUCGGAUCGGAAAGCUCUGUUGUAAGGGAAGAACGAGUGGGAGAGUGGAAAGUUCACGCUGUGACGGUAUCAUAACAGAAAGGGACGGCUAACUACGUG
RNAcentral lists this ribosomal RNA (496 nucleotides) under uncultured bacterium. RNAcentral's name for it is "partial 16S ribosomal RNA". It matches the Rfam family "Bacterial small subunit ribosomal RNA", at positions 28 to 507 of the family's 1533-position model. The record is from RNAcentral.